This 20-nucleotide unclassified non-coding RNA is filed under the name Chlamydomonas reinhardtii. Its description in RNAcentral is "small RNA Cre_1265". Lineage: Eukaryota; Viridiplantae; Chlorophyta; Chlorophyceae; Chlamydomonadales; Chlamydomonadaceae. The record is from RNAcentral.
CGCGCGCUACUUACAUGUCG